GAUGAACGCUGGCGGCGUGCCUAAUACAUGCAAGUCGAGCGAACGGGCGAGAAGCUUGCUUCUCUGAUGUUAGCGGCGGACGGGUGAGUAACACGUGGAUAACCUACCUAUAAGACUGGGGUAACUUCGGGAAACCGGAGCUAAUACCGGAUAAUAUUUUGAACCGCAUGGUUCAAAAGUGAAAGACGGUCUUGCUGUCACUUAUAGAUGGAUCCGCGCUGCAUUAGCUAGUUGGUAAGGUAACGGCUUACCAAGGCAACGAUGCAUAGCCGACCUGAGAGGGUGAUCGGCCACACUGGAACUGAGACACGGUCCAGACUCCUACGGGAGGCAGCAGUAGGGAAUCUUCCGCAAUGGGCGAAAGCCUGACGGAGCAACGCCGCGUGAGUGAUGAAGGUCUUCGGAUCGUAAAACUCUGUUAUUAGGGAAGAACAUAUGUGUAAGUAACUGUGCACAUCUUGACGGUACCUAAUCAGAAAGCCACGGCUAACUACGUG
This 497-nucleotide ribosomal RNA is filed under the name uncultured bacterium. RNAcentral's name for it is "partial 16S ribosomal RNA". It matches the Rfam family "Bacterial small subunit ribosomal RNA", at positions 28 to 507 of the family's 1533-position model. The record is from RNAcentral.